UACGGAGGGUGCAAGCGUUGUCCGGAUUUAUUGGGUUUAAAGGGUGCGUAGGCGGGUAAUUAAGUCAGUGGUGAAAGCCGACAGCUCAACCGUCGAACCGCCAUUGAUACUGGUUAUCUUGAGUAUAGUUGAGGCAGGCGGAAUUUACGAUGUAGCGGUGAAAUGCAUAGAUAUCGUAAAGAACACCGAUAGCGAAGGCAGCUUGCUAAACUAUAACUGACGCUGAGGCACGAAAGCUGGGGUCUCGAACCGG
RNAcentral lists this unclassified non-coding RNA (253 nucleotides) under uncultured Cyclobacteriaceae bacterium. Its description in RNAcentral is "contains 16S-23S intergenic spacer region". It matches the Rfam family "Bacterial small subunit ribosomal RNA", at positions 524 to 776 of the family's 1533-position model. Lineage: Bacteria; Pseudomonadati; Bacteroidota; Cytophagia; Cytophagales; Cyclobacteriaceae. The record is from RNAcentral.